This 465-nucleotide ribosomal RNA is filed under the name uncultured bacterium. RNAcentral describes it as "bacterial SSU rRNA". It matches the Rfam family "Bacterial small subunit ribosomal RNA", at positions 338 to 795 of the family's 1533-position model. The record is from RNAcentral.
CCUACGGGCGGCAGCAGUAGGGAAUCUUCGGCAAUGGACGAAAGUCUGACCGAGCAACGCCGCGUGAGUGAAGAAGGUUUUCGGAUCGUAAAACUCUGUUGGUAGAGAAGAACGUUGGUGAGAGUGGAAAGCUCAUCAAGUGACGGUAACUACCCAGAAAGGGACGGCUAACUACGUGCCAGCAGCCGCGGUAAUACGUAGGUCCCGAGCGUUGUCCGGAUUUAUUGGGCGUAAAGCGAGCGCAGGUGGUUUAUUAAGUCUGGUGUAAAAGGCAGUGGCUCAACCAUUGUAUGCAUUGGAAACUGGUAGACUUGAGUGCAGGAGAGGAGAGUGGAAUUCCAUGUGUAGCGGUGUAAUGCGUAGAUAUAUGGAGGAACACCGGUGGCGAAUGCGGCUCUCUGGCCUGUAACUUACACUGAGGCUCGAAAGCGUGGUGAGCAAACAGGAUUAGAUACCCGUGUAGUC